Non-coding RNA from Chrysemys picta bellii (western painted turtle), 1476 nucleotides. Lineage: Eukaryota; Metazoa; Chordata; Testudines; Emydidae. The record is from RefSeq and is a predicted model, not a curated record.
GGAAAUAUGUCUGCAGGUUUUGCAUCUGAUGUUCUGCCAGGGUCUGGUGCUGCUUUGUGUUGGUGCGUCCUGGUCUGUGGGGAGCUUGCUUCUGAUGAUGAGCUUGGAGAAGUUGGGGGAUUGUUGGAAGGCCAGAGGAGAGGGUUCAGGAAAGAUUUCUUUCAGGAUAGGGACAAGGAAAACAAACCAUAGGAAUACAUAGUUAACAAUGGUGGCUGAUUUGAACCCUUUGAUAUAAGUCCAUUAGGCCAAAUGGAGUUUUUUGUAUUGUUACAUAUAAUUAACUUCAUAAAGCUUUCCCCCCCCCAGUAGAAUCCUCUAAGCACAAGGACAGCUGUGGGCUACACACUGUUCAUAUGCUCAAAGAUGGCUCAUGCAGCAAUCUUUCACAGACAGACUUUGCACUGGGUUCACAACUUGAAGCACUUUUCACUGUAUCCAGUAAUUUGCACAAGUCCUUUGGCAAAUCUUUGAAAAUCUCCGGUGCCCAGAGCAACUUAGCAACGUUACAGGUGGAUUCAGAACCCGGGAUAGCACACUCGGAAUGUAGCCUGCUAAGGAGCCGCAGGUCGGACGAGUUGAACAUGAAUAAUGUUUUUCUUUUUAACUGCAGGAAAAGAACGUCCUUAGGAAAGCAAUUGUGCUCCAUCAGCUAACCUGUCUCCUAUGCCUAGAGGUCUUAAAUCAUCAUUCACCUGCCAGCCAGGCAUCACACCGUCAGGUGCUUUGUGAAGAAAACAGUCGAUACGGAGUCCAAGACACAGGUCUGCUGCUGGGAGCUGCCAGAGCCCAUUGCGUUCAGUGCCAGCCUAUACAGGUAUUUACAUCUCUGCUCUGAUUUCUGCAGGUUUCUACAAUUCUCCCUCUGUUUCACUCUGGCCCCUUUUCCCAUUUUGAAGAAAUGCCAUAGGAUAUCUCAGUGAGCAGGAGACCAAGACUCAGAAUGAAGAGAGCCGCUUUCCAUGCAGAUUGUUCCCUAUGCCUGAGACAAUGAGAUUUCUCUGUUGUGUUUCCUGAGUAUGCAGCAGUGGCCAGUUUCAACAAUUUAGAAAUCAAAUGUUAGCAUUAGAGAGUCUGAUACUCAGCAAAUCCAGAGCAGCAGAGCAGAAAAGGUAGCUUAAAAACGUGUCUAUAAGAGUUCACAACUGGUGGUGAUGGAUUCAGACACUGUGCUGAGAACCCAAAGGUCAGAGGGUGAGAGCCAAUCAAGGGCUUUUGAAGGUAAUUCCUGUGCACCGAGUGUCAGACUGGAAAUACCAUUGAUCAAUAAGUAUUCAUUCAGAUGGGUCAAGUCACCGGUCUAAACCACCUUGUUCUUUUUGUGCCAAGGACUCUUUCACCUAGAUCACUCUGUCUAUAACAUAUAGCUCAUCUCAGUUGAUUGGCCUCUUACAGUUGGUAUGGCUACUUCCACCCUUUCAUGUUCUCUGUAUCUAUAAAUAUCUUCUUUCUGUGUGUUCCAGUCUAUGCAGCCGA